AUGUCACAAUCUACACCGCCAAGACCUCAACGUGCACAGCCCCAGCAACAAGGUGCUAGAGUUCGCCGACCCACUGCUACACCAAAUCGCAAACCGGGUGCUAAAACACAAACUCCGAGUGAAGAACCACCCUCUUCUUCUUCUUCUAGCACAUCCUCAAGUGAUCAUGAACUCGAGGAAGCACAGGAGUCGGGUCCUUCUCAAGUG
Camellia sinensis is the source of this 207-nucleotide non-coding RNA. NCBI's taxonomy places the organism in Eukaryota, Viridiplantae, Streptophyta, Magnoliopsida, Ericales, Theaceae. The record is from RefSeq and is a predicted model, not a curated record.